AUUUGAGAGUUUGAUCCUGGCUCAGGACGAACGCUGGCGGCGUGCCUAAUACAUGCAAGUUGAGCGCUGAAGGUUGGUACUGUACCGACUGGAUGAGCAGCGAACGGGUGAGUAACGCGUGGGGAAUCUGCCUUUGAGCGGGGGACAACAUUUGGAAACGAAUGCUAAUACCGCAUAAAAACUUUAAACACAAGUUUUAAGUUUGAAAGAUGCAAUUGCAUCACUCAAAGAUGAUCCCGCGUUGUAUUAGCUAGUUGGUGAGGUAAAGGCUCACCAAGGCGAUGAUACAUAGCCGACCUGAGAGGGUGAUCGGCCACAUUGGGACUGAGACACGGCCCAAAUCCUACGGGAGGCAGCAGUAGGGAAUCUUCGGCAAUGGACGAAAGUCUGACCGAGCAACGCCGCGUGAGUGAAGAAGGUUUUCGGAUCGUAAAACUCUGUUGGUAGAGAAGAACGUUGGUGAGAGUGGAAAGCUCAUCAAGUGACGGUAACUACCCAGAAAGGGACGGCUAACUACGUGCCAGCAGCCGCGGUAAUACGUAGGUCCCGAGCGUUGUCCGGAUUUAUUGGGCGUAAAGCGAGCGCAGGUGGUUUAUUAAGUCUGGUGUAAAAGGCAGUGGCUCAACCAUUGUAUGCAUUGGAAACUGGUAGACUUGAGUGCAGGAGAGGAGAGUGGAAUUCCAUGUGUAGCGGUGAAAUGCGUAGAUAUAUGGAGGAACACCGGUGGCGAAAGCGGCUCUCUGGCCUGUAACUGACACUGAGGCUCGAAAGCGUGGGAGCAAACAGGAUUAGAUACCCUGGUAGUCCACGCCGUAAACGAUGAGUGCUAGAUGUAGGGAGCUAUAAGUUCUCUGUAUCGCAGCUAACGCAAUAAGCACUCCGCCUGGGGAGUACGACCGCAAGGUUGAAACUCAAAGGAAUUGACGGGGGCCCGCACAAGCGGUGGAGCAUGUGGUUUAAUUCGAAGCAACGCGAAGAACCUUACAGGUCUUGACAUACUCGUGCUAUUCCUAGAGAUAGGAAGUUCCUUCGGGACACGGGAUACAGGUGGUGCAUGGUUGUCGUCAGCUCGUGUCGUGAGAUGUUGGGUUAAGUCCCGCAACGAGCGCAACCCCUAUUGUUAGUUGCCAUCAUUAAGUUGGGCACUCUAACGAGACUGCCGGUGAUAAACCGGAGGAAGGUGGGGAUGACGUCAAAUCACAUAGCCCCUUAUGACCUGGGCUACACACGUGCUACAAUGGAUGGUACAACGAGUCGCGAGACAGUGAUGUUUAGCUAAUCUCUUAAAACCAUUCUCAGUUCGGAUUGUAGGCUGCAACUCGCCCUACAUGAAGUCGGAAUCGCUAGUAAUCGCGGAUCAGCACGCCGCGGUGAAUACGUUCCCGGGCCUUGUACACACCGCCCGUCACACCACGGAGUUGGGAGUACCCGAAGUAGGUUGCCUAACCGCAAGGAGGGCGCUUCCUAAGGUAAGACCGAUGACUGGGUGAAGUCGUAACAAGGUAGCCGUAUCGGAAGGUGCGGCUGGAUCACCUCCUUU
Molecule: ribosomal RNA, 1540 nt
Filed under: Lactococcus lactis
Lineage: Bacteria; Bacillati; Bacillota; Bacilli; Lactobacillales; Streptococcaceae
Description: bacterial SSU rRNA
Rfam family: Bacterial small subunit ribosomal RNA
Source: RNAcentral